Molecule: ribosomal RNA, 491 nt
Filed under: uncultured bacterium
Lineage: Bacteria
Description: bacterial SSU rRNA
Rfam family: Bacterial small subunit ribosomal RNA
Source: RNAcentral
GGCUCAGGAUGAACGCUAGCGGCAGGCUUAAUACAUGCAAGUCGUGGGGCAGCAUGAGUAGCAAUACUUGAUGGCGACCGGCAAACGGGUGAGGAACACGUACACAACCUUCCUUCAAGCGGGGAAUAGCCCAGAGAAAUUUGGAUUAAUACCCCAUAAUAUAUUUGAUAAGGCAUCUUUUUAAUAUUAAAGCUUCGGCACUUGAUGAUGGGUGUGCGGCUGAUUAGAUAGUUGGCGGGGUAACGGCCCACCAAGUCUACGAUCAGUAGCUGAUGUGAGAGCAUGAUCAGCCACACGGGCACUGAGACACGGGCCCGACUCCUACGGGAGGCAGCAGUAAGGAAUAUUGGACAAUGGACGAAAGUCUGAUCCAGCCAUGCCGCGUGAAGGAUUAAGGUCCUCUGGAUUGUAAACUUCUUUUAUAUGGGACGAAAAAGGGCAUUCUUGUUCACUUGACGGUACCAUAUGAAUAAGCACCGGCUAACCCCGUG